AGCUUCGGCCAUCCGGCGAGGGAUGGGCCCGCGGUGCAUUAGCUAGUUGGUGGGGUAAAGGCCCACCAAGGCGACGAUGCGUAGCUGGUCUGAGAGGAUGAUCAGCCACACUGGGACUGAGACACGGCCCAGACUCCUACGGGAGGCAGCAGCCAGGAAUCUUGGGCAAUGGGCGAAAGCCUGACCCAGCAACACCGUGUGGGCGAUGAAGGCCUUCGGGUCGUAAAGCCCUGUUGAUAGGGACGAAGGGCGAAGGGUUAAUAGCCC
RNAcentral lists this ribosomal RNA (267 nucleotides) under uncultured Rubrobacter sp. Its description in RNAcentral is "partial 16S ribosomal RNA". It matches the Rfam family "Bacterial small subunit ribosomal RNA", at positions 202 to 468 of the family's 1533-position model. Lineage: Bacteria; Bacillati; Actinomycetota; Rubrobacteria; Rubrobacterales; Rubrobacteraceae. The record is from RNAcentral.